This 788-nucleotide ribosomal RNA is filed under the name uncultured bacterium. RNAcentral describes it as "bacterial SSU rRNA". It matches the Rfam family "Bacterial small subunit ribosomal RNA", at positions 1 to 795 of the family's 1533-position model. The record is from RNAcentral.
UAGAGUUUGAUCCUGGCUCAGGAUGAACGCUGGCGGCGUGCUUAACACAUGCAAGUCGAACGAAGCGAUCAGGAGGAAGUUUUCGGAUGGAAUCCGGAUUGACUGAGUGGCGGACGGGUGAGUAACGCGUGGGUAACCUGCCUCAUACAGGGGGAUAACAGUUAGAAAUGACUGCUAAUACCGCAUAAGCGCACAGGGACACAUGUUCCGGUGUGAAAAACUCCGGUGGUAUGAGAUGGACCCGCGUCUGAUUAGCUGGUUGGCGGGGUAACGGCCCACCAAGGCGACGAUCAGUAGCCGACCUGAGAGGGUGACCGGCCACAUUGGGACUGAGACACGGCCCAAACUCCUACGGGAGGCAGCAGUGGGGAAUAUUGCACAAUGGGGGAAACCCUGAUGCAGCAACGCCGCGUGAGUGAAGAAGUAUUUCGGUAUGUAAAGCUCUAUCAGCAGGGAAGAAGAUGACGGUACCUGAGUAAGAAGCCCCGGCUAACUACGUGCCAGCAGCCGCGGUAAUACGUAGGGGGCAAGCGUUAUCCGGAUUUACUGGGUGUAAAGGGAGCGUAGACGGUGAGACAAGUCUGAAGUGAAAGCCCGGGGCUCAACCCCGGGACUGCUUUGGAAACUGCCUGACUGGAGUGCUGGAGAGGCAAGCGGAAUUCCUAGUGUAGCGGUGAAAUGCGUAGAUAUUAGGAAGAACACCAGUGGCGAAGGCGGCUUGCUGGACAGUAACUGACGUUGAGGCUCGAAAGCGUGGGGAGCAAACAGGAUUAGAUACCCUGGUAGUC